Molecule: transfer RNA, 72 nt
Filed under: Camelus dromedarius (Arabian camel)
Lineage: Eukaryota; Metazoa; Chordata; Mammalia; Artiodactyla; Camelidae
Also listed under: 1 other name
Rfam family: tRNA
About the family: Transfer RNA (tRNA) molecules are approximately 80 nucleotides in length.
Source: Rfam by way of RNAcentral
GAGAGUAUAGCUCAGUGGCAGAGUGCAUGCUUAGAAUGCAGGAGGUCCUGAGUUCAAUCCCCAGUACCUACA